Acanthosepion pharaonis is the source of this 113-nucleotide non-coding RNA. Lineage: Eukaryota; Metazoa; Mollusca; Cephalopoda; Sepiida; Sepiidae. The record is from the annotation of a GenBank genome assembly.
UACAGCCACAUCACCUUGAAAUACCAAUUCCCAUAAAAUCACCAAAGUUAAACAAUUUCAAGCCUAGUCAGUACUUAGAUGAGUGACCACUUGGGAAGACCAGGGGUUGUAAG